AUAUAUAUAGUUUAAAUAAAAUAUUGAUUUGUGGAGUCAAAGAUUUAAUAUAAUUAAUUUAUAUA
Molecule: transfer RNA, 65 nt
Filed under: Ammothea hilgendorfi
Lineage: Eukaryota; Metazoa; Arthropoda; Pycnogonida; Pantopoda; Ammotheidae
Description: tRNA-His
Source: RNAcentral